GCUAUAGCACAGGCCUGUAGUCCCAGCUACUCAGAGACUGAGGCAGGCGAAUCACUUGAGUCUGAGUUCUGAGCUGUAGAGUAAGCUAUGCCAAUAAGAUUGUCCUUACUAAGUUUGGCAUCAAUAUGGUGACUUCUCCCAGGAGAAAGGGAUCACCAGUUUGCCUAAAGAGGGGUGAAUGGCAAAGGUCGGAAACUGCAAGUCAGAAUUCCCAUGCUGACCAGUAGUGGGAAUGUGCCAUGAAUAGCCACUGCAAGAGAGCCUGGGUAACAUACCUGAAACUCUGUCUAU
This 291-nucleotide signal recognition particle RNA is filed under the name Carlito syrichta (Philippine tarsier). RNAcentral describes it as "Metazoan signal recognition particle RNA (ENSTSYG00000034492.1)". It matches the Rfam family "Metazoan signal recognition particle RNA". From Rfam's summary of the family: The signal recognition particle (SRP) is a universally conserved ribonucleoprotein. It is involved in the co-translational targeting of proteins to membranes. The record is from RNAcentral. Lineage: Eukaryota; Metazoa; Chordata; Mammalia; Primates; Tarsiidae.